GGAGAGAUGUCCGAGUGGUUUAAGGAAGCAGUCUUGAAAACUGCCGUACGGAAACGUACCGUGGGUUCGAAUCCCACUCUCUCCGCCA
RNAcentral lists this transfer RNA (88 nucleotides) under Faecalibacterium prausnitzii. RNAcentral's name for it is "tRNA-Ser". It matches the Rfam family "tRNA". From Rfam's summary of the family: Transfer RNA (tRNA) molecules are approximately 80 nucleotides in length. Their secondary structure includes four short double-helical elements and three loops (D, anti-codon, and T loops). RNAcentral also lists the same sequence under 2 other names. Lineage: Bacteria; Bacillati; Bacillota; Clostridia; Eubacteriales; Oscillospiraceae. The record is from RNAcentral.